AUAUGCCGACAUAUGCAGAAUAUAUUGGAAUGAUAGAGAGAAGAUUAGCGUGGCCAUGCGCAAGGAUAACAUGCAAAAUCCUGAAGCGAUCGAAAUUUUU
This 100-nucleotide small nuclear RNA is filed under the name Glossina morsitans morsitans. Lineage: Eukaryota; Metazoa; Arthropoda; Insecta; Diptera; Glossinidae. The record is from RNAcentral.